Molecule: long non-coding RNA, 998 nt
Filed under: Nicotiana benthamiana
Lineage: Eukaryota; Viridiplantae; Streptophyta; Magnoliopsida; Solanales; Solanaceae
Description: long non-coding RNA (NBEN_LNC007207)
Source: RNAcentral
CAAAAUUUAGUAUUUGGAUUUGGUGCAAGAAAAGGUGCAGCCCUGGAGAUGGACAUACUUAGUUAAACACCAACCACAUAAACUGAGAUACCGUGAGUAAUAAACCACAAUCAUAUUGAUGCAAGAUAACGUCACCCCAUAAAAAAUUUGAAAGAAUAUACUAAACGAUAACAACUUUUAUUAGAAAAAUAGAUAAAUAAAUAGAUUAAAAAAUAUACCUUUUAGGAAGAGGAAUGCUUUUUCCCCUCACACUCAGGGCUUUCAUCAAAAUUCUUAGAAGGGUAUUUAGCAGUAACCAUUCCAACUUCAAACACCAAAUUCUCACCACUAGAUCUAAUACCCGUAAUACCCCACCACUUAAAAAAUGCCCUCACGCUAAUUCCAUCAAGCUCAGCAAUUCUGUUUUCAACAAUUUUGCCUGUAAUUUUCUUUGAAUACGUAGCUAGGUAAUUGUCCGGAGGUAGUGUGAUUUUACACGUGGCACCUAAAGAAACUACCCAUCAAGCUCAGCAAUUCGGUUUUCAACAAUUUUUCCUGUAAUUUUCUUUGAAUACGUAGCUAGGUAAUUGUCCGGAGGAAGUGUGAUUUUACACGUGGCACCUAGAGAAACAACGAAGUUGCCGGAAGUUUUAUUUAGGGCAUAGCCGUUUACGUUUUGUGGAAGUAGCCCGAUUGGGAAGCCGUAAUUGAUUAGCUCUCUAUGGGCCUCCGACGGGUUCGGUUUCGGGCUUGAAGAGGAUAAAGAGAUAGUGAAAAGGAGAGGAAGAAUGCUGAAGAAUAAGAGGGUUUUUGCCAUUUUUAGUGUGUGAGUGUGUGUGUGUGUGUGUGAAGGAGGAAAUUGUUGGGAAGAAAAGGGAGAAUGGAGAUUUUUUCGAUUGAAGAGUUUGACCAGCAAAGGAGUGGAUAAAGUGUAAUAUGUAAACAUGAAUUCACGUGUACCUUUUUAAUCGUGAUGUGAUUCAGAAAAGGCCACGUUCUUUGUAUGUGACGAGAACUUC